Odocoileus virginianus texanus is the source of this 409-nucleotide long non-coding RNA. RefSeq lists it as uncharacterized. The record is from RefSeq and is a predicted model, not a curated record. NCBI's taxonomy places the organism in Eukaryota, Metazoa, Chordata, Mammalia, Artiodactyla, Cervidae.
CCCGCCUCCCCGCCUGUGGCCAGCACCAGACCCUGCGGCGCGGAGAGAAAGGUCAUAAAUGAGGGGAGAGAGGAAGAAGGGUGGAGAGGAAUAAGAACCCAGGAAAACAACUGAUGGCACAUUGGGAGAUAUAAACCAAAGCUCUCACUUAAAAGCAAACUGAGCCAAGGAGCAGCUAAGCUCGUGUGCCACAACUAGAGAAAGCAACAGGCGGAACGAAGAGCUUCACAACCAAAAAUAAAUAAAAUUAUUUAAAGAAAUAAAAAAGAAAAUUGAGAGUCAGAAAGCUUGAGCAUCAAUUUAACUAUUAGAAUCUGAUAUUAGCCACAAAGUGCUUUAUGAAAUGCUUUACGUGUUUAAAAAGAUUGUUAUCCAUUCAUGGUGAUGGUGAUGUAGAGGCUAAGUCAUG